Molecule: long non-coding RNA, 2586 nt
Organism: Aethalodelphis obliquidens (Pacific white-sided dolphin)
Lineage: Eukaryota; Metazoa; Chordata; Mammalia; Artiodactyla; Delphinidae
Exons: 3
Source: RefSeq, a predicted model, not a curated record
UUUAUAAAAUUGGGGGAGGGGUAGAUAACUGCUCUUAUUUUUAUCAAUAAAAAAUUUUAAAGUGCACCCUGUUCCUUAAAACAUAGAAAUGUGGAAAAAUAUGGUUUUUAAUUUUGUGUUAAUGUCUUAUUCUUCAAGAGUAGAUUGCACUGUCAUUGAGAAAGAAAUCGCUGGCGCCUUCAUGUUGUGUGGUGUUUUGUAUCAACAUAUAUCUCAAAUGUUCCAAGAGAUGAGUCAGUGAUUCCAAAGUUCCUCCCCUCCCAUACUUCUCUGUUUGCCUGAGGAAGUGAGUUCUCGCCCACACUCCCCACUUCCCAAAGAGCCAAGAUACCGGUAUGCGGACAUGGAGGAGAGUAUCUACAGAAGACAGUGGAUUUUUUUAAAUUAUGAAGCAACGUGUUCUCCAACAAAGAGAAAUCCGUGUGCUACUGUGGGAGAAGAGCUCCCUUGUCACAGGUCGGGCAGGCAGCAGCUGCUAGCACUGGGGCUUAUGUAAGGCCCUGCUCUCAGCCCUUGGGCCCCGGUGCCCAGUUUCCAGCCAGGAUCCAAGGGGUCAGCGUGCCAGGUGAAUGAAAUCCUGCCUUUGUUUGACUGCCCCAGAGUCUCUCGCUCUGGGACGUUCCGUGCAACAGAAACCCAGACACACUUAUUAUACAGAAACCCGGGAGGGGAAGAGGAAGGAGGCUUCUAGGUGCCAAAGGCAGUGGCAAAAACUGAAUAGGCAAGAACUUUCUCCCAGCCAAGUCAGCAGAGUGUCCCAAAGGCUCAGAGAUUCCACAGUCUAUGAGGAUGGGAGAGAGCGUUCCGUAAAAGCAAUCCAACUACUGUAACAUAGCACACACAUCAAAAAUAGCACUGUUUUAAAAACAUGGAGUUAUAUAGAGAGAAUUUUAAAGUGUUUUUAAUAUGUAUUUUAAUAUAGAUUUUUAACUGUAUGUAUUGACAAGAUUGAAAGCUGUUGAGUCCCUACUAAACAGACACGGACUAUGUAACACAAUAAUGACAUCAUUGAUCCAUUAAAUUCAAGAAGAGACAAUUCAAUUUUAGAUGAUGUCACACAAAUUAUAUGUUUAUCAUAAAAGUGGUAGAUAAAUAGAAAAUAAGGAAAAUAUUAUUUUCAAUAUCACUAAUCUAGCCCAAUCACCAACUCAAAACAAUGUAAAGAGUUUCGACUGAGGUCUUAACUUCACAUUUGAAUUAAGUCUGUUCUCAGGCUUGAUGCUUAAGAAGCCAACAACAGAAAAGAGAUGCUUUACUGGGUAUUUACAAACACUCACACAAGUAUAAAUAGAUAGAAGACACAGUGAAUUUUAAAUCCAGCAAAAUAUAUAUGUUUAUUGAAACCCUACUGUGUGAUGGACACAGCAUUAUUAUUAUUAAUAGUAUUAUUGUUGCACAUCAAAAAAUUUGUGGCUCCUACCUUCAAACAUAAAGUAAACAGUAUAAUAAAUUCGUAUGUGCAAGACUUCCCUGUUUUAGUUGUUUCUUUGAUAUGUGGUGGAAUGCCUGAAGAUGCAUAUCCUUACAUCAAUGUUAUAGUUUCACAGGAUGUGGUAGAGCUUUAACACGAGAUGUAAAGAAAUAAUUAGCUUCAAAAGUCAGGGAGGCAGUCAAUAAUACUUAUCAAGUACCCACCCCAUGCGCAGUUGGGGCCUGCAAGAAAAAAGCUGGUUAACAAGAAGUUUCUGACCAUCUACUCAGUAUGCAAUAGGCUGAGUACUGUGAGAAAUAAAAGAGAAGGACAUUGAAAGCCCAUGCUCUUGAAGGAUUUUCUUCCAAACACAAAAUCCACACAUGGGAAUUGCCUUGGGGACACUUACAAAGAAACAUGAGACAUUAGCAUACUUCAAACUGAUUUUAGAAAAUACAUAUAGAAUACAUAGUAGAAGAGCCAUCACGUUUAGGCAGGGUUUGUCCCAAGUCUCUCCGAGAAAGGAGAGGUGUAGAGGUUUGCUCACUUCAUUGGAAAGUCACGUGUUUCACCCUGCACUUUAUUUCUGUAAUUCAAAGGUUUUUUUGUUUGUUUAAUUGCUAAAUUACAAUUUUAAUCUGAGAGCACUAUUCUCUGACACACUGUUGGAGACUAGGCUCUGUAUGAACACCUGGAGAGAAAUCUUAAGUGACUUGGCACUGCUGGCAGGGGGUUAUAACUCCUCCUGAGCAGUUCCAGAGCCACUGUUUAGGAGGCCUGUCUAGUCAUGACUGGUGGCACAGGAAAAGAAUGAUGGGACUUGAAAGUGCUAAAAAGUCCUUUUUUAUUUGUUUCUUCUUGGAUAGCUGCAGUUUUAAAUUGAAUUACAAAUUUGCCAGUGGUUUCAGCUUAAUUCUUCAAAUAUAUAUUGAAUUGGUACUGUGGGCUCUGGAGGAGAUGGUCUGUGAUCCAUCCCUGCUUCCAUCCCAGAGAUGGAAGAAUCUCUGGUAAGCAACACUAGGAGCAUCACAGAGGCUGGAGUCUCUGGUACCUAAGGUCUUUCUGGAAUGUUCUUCAGAGAAGCUCCUCUUUCCCUUGCAAAACAGGAGAGUAUGGUAGAGCCAUUCCCAGAGAGCCAAGAGGAGAGACCAAGGGGUCAGGAAAGAUUGCCUGAG